RNAcentral lists this ribosomal RNA (253 nucleotides) under uncultured bacterium. RNAcentral's name for it is "partial 16S ribosomal RNA". It matches the Rfam family "Bacterial small subunit ribosomal RNA", at positions 524 to 776 of the family's 1533-position model. The record is from RNAcentral.
CACGUAGGGCGCGAGCGUUGUCCGGAAUUAUUGGGCGUAAAGCGCUUGUAGGCGGCUUGUUAAGUUCCGUGUGAAAUCCCCAGGCUUAACCUGGGAAGUGCGCGGAAAACUGGCGAGCUUGAGUGCCGGAGAGGGUCGCGGAAUUCCCGGUGUAGAGGUGAAAUUCGUAGAUAUCGGGAGGAACACCAGUGGCGAAGGCGGCGACCUGGACGGACACUGACGCUGAGACGCGAAAGCGUGGGGAGCAAACAGG